This 378-nucleotide unclassified non-coding RNA is filed under the name plant metagenome. RNAcentral's name for it is "partial contains 5.8S ribosomal RNA, internal transcribed spacer 2, and large subunit ribosomal RNA". The stretch from base 1 to 105 matches the Rfam family "5.8S ribosomal RNA", at positions 50 to 154 of the family's 154-position model. The record is from RNAcentral.
GAAAUGCGAUAAGUAAUGUGAAUUGCAGAAUUCAGUGAAUCAUCGAAUCUUUGAACGCAUCUUGCGCUCCUUGGUAUUCCUUGGAGCAUGCCUGUUUGAGUAUCAUGAAAUCUUCAAAGUAAAUCUUUUGUUAACUCAAUUGGUUUCUACUUUGGUAUUGGAGGUCUUUGCAGCUUCACACCUGCUCCUCUUUGUUCAUUAGCUGGAUCUCAGUGUUAUGCUUGGUUCCGCUCGGCGUGAUAAGUUAUCUAUCGCUGAGGACACUGUAAAAGGUGGCCAAGGUAAAAGCAGAUGAACCGCUUCUAAUAGUCCAUUGACUUGGACAAUACUUUUAUGAUCUGAUCUCAAAUCAGGUAGGACUACCCGCUGAACUUAAGC